UGGGGAAUUUUGGACAAUGGGGGAAACCCUGAUCCAGCCAUCCCGCGUGUGCGAUGAAGGCCUUCGGGUUGUAAAGCACUUUUGGCAGGAAAGAAACGUCAUGGGUUAAUACCCCGUGAAACUGACGGUACCUGCAGAAUAAGCACCGGCUAACUACGUGCCAGCAGCCGCGGUAAUACGUAGGGUGCAAGCGUUAAUCGGAAUUACUGGGCGUAAAGCGUGCGCAGGCGGUUAGGAAAGAAAGAUGUGAAAUCCCAGAGCUCAACUUUGGAACUGCAUUUUUAACUACCGGGCUAGAGUGUGUCGGAGGGAGGUGGAAUUCCGCGUGUAGCAGUGAAAUGCGUAGGUAUGCGGAGGAACACCGAUGGCGAAGGCAGCCUCCUGGGAUAACACUGACGCUCAUGCACGAAGGCGUGGGGAGCAAACAGA
This 429-nucleotide ribosomal RNA is filed under the name Acidobacteriota bacterium. Its description in RNAcentral is "Acidobacteria bacterium partial 16S ribosomal RNA". It matches the Rfam family "Bacterial small subunit ribosomal RNA", at positions 355 to 776 of the family's 1533-position model. Lineage: Bacteria; Pseudomonadati; Acidobacteriota. The record is from RNAcentral.